This 477-nucleotide ribosomal RNA is filed under the name Triticum aestivum (bread wheat). RNAcentral describes it as "partial small subunit ribosomal RNA". Lineage: Eukaryota; Viridiplantae; Streptophyta; Magnoliopsida; Poales; Poaceae. The record is from RNAcentral.
AUGGCAGUUGGGCUCAGGGGUGGAAAAUGGGAAGUGACGGUAUUCCAAGAAGAGCAUACACACCCCUUGAUGAGUAGGGAUGAAUGGACCAUGUAUUACACAUCACACAGGAAAGUGCUGUAUGAAGACUACAUGUUUCUGAAGACACUACAUAACCGCAACAUACCCACCUCUCUGAUUAUGGCUACACUUGGAGAUUUGCAUGGUGGUCAUGGGAACCUACCAUAUACUGAUAGAGAUGUUGCGAACAUUCGAACUAAGUGGAGGAAUGAGGUGUCUCUGAAAGAUAUGGCAAAAACGUGUGAAUAUUUUGAGAAGCUUCAUGCUGAGAGUCCACGUUUCUUCUAUGCAAAGCAAACAAACAGUAAUGAAGCAAUGAGAGCACUUUUUUUGGGUUGGCGGACGGACCAGAGAGGCAUACAAGAAAUUCAACGAUUGCGUAUUUUUUCAUACAACCUUCUGUACAAACCGAUAUGA